CUCUGGGAAACAGGAAGUCAACUCCUGCCAAGUGCUCUCCUCCUCCUCUGCUUCCAAAGAUUUUUCUGCCACAGAGCCUCCCAAGAACCCUCCAAAUGAAUGCUUGGGCGGAAUUGGUUGAAAUGUGAGCUCCUUCAUUUGGCCUUAAUGUAACCCUGACCUGGGAGGACAACCUGUCUCUGGGCUUUUCUCUGUGGUAACUCUCCAAAUUAUGGCAAGCAUUUCUGGUCAGAGCUCAAGGAAGUUCCUUCCCAACUUUUGUGAUCCCUAGCUAAAGGAUGAAGAGCAGUGCUGCCAUCUGGAGUCCCUGUCUCCUUGGAAGCCUUUGUGGGCCCACAGAUGCUACUACUUAAAAGGAGGUGCUGCAGAUGCUUUGGAUUUCUUCUCUUUCUGGAAUGAGAUCUUUGGUCUUCCCCCAAGCCUUCUCCCCACAGCCUCCUCCCAGCUUUGUCAUUCUUUGUCAUCCUCAGGCUCCUUAGUGAAUGAUUUGUUUUGAGGUUUUCAUUUCAAUUUUCUCUUGAAAAUUGAUAAUUCUUCUCAUUUGACGUCUAUCUGGCCACUCAAGAUAAGACCAUCCCAAGCUUGCAUGUCACAGAGUUUCUUUGCUAUCUCUAUUGACCAACAGAGGUGUUGAAAUGCAACCAUAAUUCAAAAUUAAAGUCAAAAGGAGCUCAGAA
This is a long non-coding RNA of Monodelphis domestica (gray short-tailed opossum), 677 nucleotides long. RefSeq lists it as uncharacterized. Lineage: Eukaryota; Metazoa; Chordata; Mammalia; Didelphimorphia; Didelphidae. The record is from RefSeq and is a predicted model, not a curated record.